CUCUGUGACUCCUACGGGAGGCAUCAGUGGGGAAUAUGCACAAUGGGGGAAACCCUGAUGCAGCCAUGCCGCGUGUGUGAAGAAGGCCUUCGGGUUGUAAAGCACUUUCAGUAGGGAGGAAGGUAGUGUAGUUAACACCUGCACUAUUUGACGUUACCUACAGAAGAAGCACCGGCUAACUCCGUGCCAGCAGCCGCGGUAAUACGGAGGGUGCGAGCGUUAAUCGGAAUUACUGGGCGUAAAGCGCAUGCAGGCGGCCUGUUAAGUCAGAUGUGAAAGCCCGGGGCUUAACCUCGGAAUUGCAUUUGAAACUGGCAGGCUAGAGUCUUGUAGAGGGGGUAGAAUUUCAGGUGUAGCGGUGAAAUGCGUAGAGAUCUGAAGGAAUACCAGUGGCGAAGGCGGCCCCCUGGACAAAGACUGACGCUCAGAUGCGAAAGCGUGGGGAGCAAACAGGAUUAGAUACCCUGGUAG
RNAcentral lists this ribosomal RNA (471 nucleotides) under uncultured bacterium. RNAcentral describes it as "bacterial SSU rRNA". It matches the Rfam family "Bacterial small subunit ribosomal RNA", at positions 328 to 793 of the family's 1533-position model. The record is from RNAcentral.